This is a long non-coding RNA of Sardina pilchardus (European sardine), 933 nucleotides long. RefSeq lists it as uncharacterized. The record is from RefSeq and is a predicted model, not a curated record. NCBI's taxonomy places the organism in Eukaryota, Metazoa, Chordata, Actinopteri, Clupeiformes, Clupeidae. The transcript has 2 exons.
AAUAUACCAUUUAUAUAACUAUAUAACUAUCAAAAUGCCCCCCACCACCGCCUCCCCCCGCCUGUGUCUCCUCACCUUACAGCACUGUGUGUACAUCCUGAACUUCACGCUACCCCAACAUGCUUGGUCUCAUAAUGUCCGUAAGAAGCCAGAGAAUCCGAAUAUCUACUGUGUUUUGUCGACAUUAUGUUCAAAAGCUGAACCAUUCCACCCAAACAAUAUAAUUUAGUUUGUAAAAAAAACGAACUAUAACUUUUCUCCGAGAGAAAACCGCGUAGUUCGCAUGCUUAGCCUUUGUUUUGCCGGGGUUUACGCCACUUGCCGUAUUCAGGAAGCUCUCCUGAGUACGUAGAUACCGGUGACAAGUUUGUGUGACGUACCGUUGUCGAGAAACACGUGUUAGAAGCGUGGUCGGCAGCUAUGGUGUUUUACGGUCAAGUUAGCUUUGAUUGACAACUGCUCUGGCGUAUGACAAGCUACCAGGAUGGUUCCGGGAUAUUCUUGUAGCCAAUGAGUAGACGCUUCGAAUGAUAUAUGCAACAGCCCUUUCCGGUGAAGGGAAAGCUGGGAAAUCGAGUCCACAUUCAUCGCGCACAAGGCUAACUCUGUAGAACGAGCCGUGCGUAAAAUAGCAACAGCACUUUCGACGAGUGAUCAAAACAAAAUAGCAGCAGCAGCUUUUGACAAGCGAUGAAAACAUGUCGAAAAAGCAUAGAAAAACGAAAUCAGAGGAAAGUACCAGCAGGAGAAGUGAAGAAAGAGAAGAAAGUGAAGAAAGUAGUGUAAUUGAAGAAAGUGAAGAAAGUCCAGACUGAAGACUCUCAAGGCUUCGCCGACUUCUUAGAAGGAAUAAGUGACUUCGAAUGAUUUGCCUUGAACAUAUGUUUGCACUGCUGCAGAAUCACUUUUACAAAUAAAAAAAUUGCACUAUAA